ACGGGAGGCAGCAGUGGGGAAUCUUGCGCAAUGGGCGAAAGCCUGACGCAGCGACGCCGCGUGAGGGAAGAAGGCCUUCGGGUUGUAAACCUCUUUUAAGAGGGAAGAAGCCACUCGGGUGAAUAGCCCAGAGGGUGACGGUACCUCUAGAAUAAGCCCCGGCUAACUACGUGCCAGCAGCCGCGGUAAUACGUAGGGGGCAAGCGUUGUCCGGAUUUACUGGGCGUAAAGAGCGUGUAGGCGGCCAGACAGGUCCGUUGUGAAAACUGGAGGCUCAACCUCCAGACGUCGACGGAAACCGUCUGGCUAGAGUCCGGAAGAGGAGAGUGGAAUUCCUGGUGUAGCGGUGAAAUGCGCAGAUAUCAGGAAGAACACCGAUGGCGAAGGCAGCUCUCUGGGACGGUACUGACGCUGAGACGCGAAAGCGUGGGGAGCGAACAGGAUUAGAUACCCUGGUA
Molecule: ribosomal RNA, 458 nt
Filed under: uncultured Gaiellales bacterium
Lineage: Bacteria; Bacillati; Actinomycetota; Thermoleophilia; Gaiellales
Description: bacterial SSU rRNA
Rfam family: Bacterial small subunit ribosomal RNA
Source: RNAcentral